Molecule: transfer RNA, 77 nt
Filed under: Ruminococcus bromii
Lineage: Bacteria; Bacillati; Bacillota; Clostridia; Eubacteriales; Oscillospiraceae
Also listed under: 32 other names
Description: tRNA-Pro
Rfam family: tRNA
About the family: Transfer RNA (tRNA) molecules are approximately 80 nucleotides in length. Their secondary structure includes four short double-helical elements and three loops (D, anti-codon, and T loops).
Source: RNAcentral
CGAGGUGUAGCGCAGUUUGGUAGCGCACAUCGUUCGGGACGAUGGGGUCGCAAGUUCGAAUCUUGUCACCUCGACCA